UACAGAGGUCCCAAGCGUUGUUCGGAUUCACUGGGCGUAAAGGGUGCGUAGGUGGCUUGGUAAGUUUGAUGUGAAAUCUCCGGGCUUAACCCGGAAAUGGCAUUGAAUACUAUUGAGCUGGAGGUUUGGAGGGGGGACUGGAAUUCUCGGUGUAGCAGUGAAAUGCGUAGAUAUCGAGAGGAACACCAGUGGCGAAGGCGAGUCUCUGGGAUGAUGCUGACGCUGAGGCGCGAAAGCCAGGGGAGCAAACGGG
Molecule: ribosomal RNA, 253 nt
Filed under: uncultured bacterium
Lineage: Bacteria
Description: partial 16S ribosomal RNA
Rfam family: Bacterial small subunit ribosomal RNA
Source: RNAcentral